RNAcentral lists this ribosomal RNA (254 nucleotides) under uncultured bacterium. RNAcentral's name for it is "partial 16S ribosomal RNA". It matches the Rfam family "Bacterial small subunit ribosomal RNA", at positions 524 to 777 of the family's 1533-position model. The record is from RNAcentral.
UACAGAGGGUGCGAGCGUUAAUCGGAAUUACUGGGUGUAAAGCGCGUGCAGGCGGUGGGCUAAGUUGGGUGUGAAAGCUCCUGGCUCAACUGGGAGAGGUCGCUCAAGACUGGCCGACUGGAGAGCAGUAAGGGAAGGUGGAAUUCCGGGUGUAGUGGUGAAAUGCGUAGAUAUCCGGAGGAACACCAGUGGCGAAGGCGGCCUUCUGGACUGCUUCUGACGCUCAGACGCGAAAGCUAGGGGAGCAAGCGGGG